RNAcentral lists this long non-coding RNA (1235 nucleotides) under Capra hircus (goat). Its description in RNAcentral is "lncRNA (ENSCHIG00010031343.1)". Lineage: Eukaryota; Metazoa; Chordata; Mammalia; Artiodactyla; Bovidae. The record is from RNAcentral.
GAAUCAUGCGUUGCGUCUACCAAUGAGAAGCAGUUGGAGUUGGCUGAGGACUUGGCAACAUCUACAUCGCCUUGAUUGGGUGUCAUGAUAGAGUCCUUCCUCACCUUCCUUCUUCGGGGCGCAUGCUUCCAGGACCUUUCCCUCGUCUUGCAAGAUGGAGUGAAGGGCUUUCACACUUGUCUGGGCUGACUCCAAGUGUGUGAUCACUCUCAGCGGGUGUCAGCACGGCUGGGAGAUUUGUGAUACCGCCUGGUUCCUAAUUACCUCCCUCUCUGCACUCACCCCUCCCAGCUCUCCCCAGACCUGCUGCCACCACCUCCAUCAUCUCCACCUGCCAGUCUGCCUGACUCCGUCUGCAGAGGAGAGACACGGCUGGAAACUGAUAGAGGAGGCUUCACAGGGCCCCACUGCCUGGUCCAUGGGCGCUGGGUUAGAGCAAGGCAGCCCUUCAUCAUUUCUAGCAAAGUCUGUUUCUUACUUGGCAGGGGGCACUGCUCCUCUCUGGGCACCUCAGAGUCUCCUGCCUGCCAGGAAAAGGAUCAGAGAAACCUUGGGUCACCUCGCUUGGCUAACGUCACCCAUCUAGACCUAAUCCAGUCCCAGGUCCUGCAAAAACAAAAGCCACUGGACCUCAAAGGGUUUCCCUUCUUUCACCCCAGAAUACCUCUCGAAAAUGAUCUUCUUGAGAAAGAUCUCUCUGUGCUGAGGUGGGCAGAUAAGUUAAAAAAUGGAAAAUGUCAUCACAUUGCUCAGUCCAGCUCCGUGUUUUAUUUUUUGGCCGCUCCACACAGCGUGUGGGAUCUUAGUUCCCCAGCCAGGGAUCAAAUCCACACCCCCUGCACUGGAAGCUUGGAGUAGUUUUAACCAUGGGACUUCCAGGAAAUCCACCCCCUCUCCAACCUAUUUUUUAAAAAUACACACCAAAAAAAGAAAAAGCUGCCAGAAUAUUAGCGAAAAGCAUUCCCUUUGGUUAUGCCUGAGGGUAGGACGACAGAGGACGUUCUAUGCUACAUGUUUCUACGAUGUUUUCAUUGAAGGAUCGCUUGUACAGUCAGGAAUAAUAGAGUAUUUGAAAAGGGGAAUGGCGAGGGGUUCUUGGGGUCCUUGAUAUCUUGAGAAGCCAGGUGGGUUGACAGUCAGGGUUCUAGAACAGUUCAUUCAAGAGUCUGAGAGACUACUUUCCCCAGGUUGGGGAAAUUUCAGCCUUUGGUCCAGGAAUGAGUCAUCCUGAAGCA